GCAGGUGUUACAGUUGAAACCAUUUAUUUAAAAGAAUAAACACUUUAAUAAUUUAGAACAAAAGAAAAAGAGAAAUUUGCAAUGUUUAAAUUCUUCUUAAAUCCAGUUAAACAAGACUAAAUUUGCUCUCUUUUUAAUGAAACAUGCAGGUGGUCAGUGUUUACAAGUACUUUAGAUGAUAUACAAUGUAUGAUAUAGACCAUAUGUCCAGAAAAACUGGACAUAAUUUAUCAUGAUAAUGAUAUAUAUUGUCAUAUUGCUUUAGUGCUAAUAUACUGAAUUUUGAAACUAACAUUAUUAACAUGAGGCAGAUUUUCAACCAUUUGUUUUUGCUUCGACUGAAAGACAUCUAAUUGAGAGACCACUGUAUCACAUUAAACUGAAUUAUGAAUGUUGUGAAUCGUUACAGCCCUAGUUGCUGGUACAAAAAAAUAUGUCAUGCUAAAAUUUUAUUUUAAAAAAUUUGAGCUAAAAAAACUAAAUAAAAUAAAGAAAACAGAAAUAGUACAGAGCUGACCUAUUAGUUAAUGGUUAACACAUUAAAAAAUAUUGUUUAUUUUCUAAGGUUGAAUGCUCUAAUACACAAAAAAGUGGUAACAUUAAUAAGAUCAACAUAAUUCAGAUGUGAUUGAAUCGUAUUAAAACUGAAUUAUGAAUUUGUGAAUCGUUACUGGUAGAGAACAGAAAACAUGUUAGAUUGUGCCUGAAAACCAUUGUUUAGUGAUUGAGUUGUUUAUUGAUCGUUUUUAUGCUGUCGAUCUGCCUUAAAGCUGAACGUCACGAAACCGCCAAUGAGGCCGAGGAAGCCGAACUGGUCGACGGAGCAGAAGCUGCUGCUGGUGCAGCUGGUGAAGGCAAGGAGAGAAGAUCUGCUGACCGGCAGACACUCUUGUCGAGAGAUUGCCACCAACAGGAGGUGGGCGUGGGACGAGAUAGCCGAGGAAAUCUCCACCGCUCACCCUGACGUCCCACGCACGGGGAAGGAGUGCGAGAGACACUGGUUUGUAGAGCUCGCCAAGGCCAAAGAGCUGAUGCUGACGCACAGAUCACACACAGGCCACAUCAGUCCAGUUACUAAGGUCGUGCUUGAAAUUCUCAAACUACAGAGAAAAGAGGCUGAUUUUAAAGACAGGACUGAAGAAGACAAUACAACCUUUGAAGAAGAAGAAGAACCACAGGAGGAGAUGAAGUAUGUUCCAACUGCGAUCACUCCCAUCAUAAACAUUGAGCUGCCCGUCAACCACACGAAUGACAUGAGCAGGCUGGAAAAUGCUCCCAUGAGUCCUCCGUGCUCGCCCUCACCCUCUGCAGAGAAGAGAGAUCUGGAGAUAUCGGUUCUUCGCCGGCAGGAACGUGUGUUACAGUUACAGGAGGAGUACUACUCCCUCAAAAUCAAACACCUCAAAGCACGGAUGCUGAUGGACCUUUGAUGGGAAAGCUCUUCCUGAUGGAAAAAGACUCUUUUUUUGCCUUAAUAAACACUAGUUUAGAAAUCUUAGGACCGGACUGCUGAACCAAAAGACAUGCGUUAGGACUGUGGUUCGUUUGUUCUAUGUAGCCUUCUGCUGGAUUCAGGCCCUGGAGCUGCAGUGUUCUGGCAUAGGAAGUUCUCAGACAUGACACCUUUCCACCAGUAGAUGGCAAGGUGGUAACUCUAUAUUCUCACUCAAAAUGCUGUACAUAGAAGUAGAAAAUCCAGGCAGGGACUGUUGUCGCUGUUAUCCGAACUGAGACCUGUGCUUGCUGCCUGUUUAGACCUAUAAGUAGGAUUUGAAUGUUAAAGAAUUAGUGCUAUAUGUUUAGUUUUUCAUGGAUGAGUUUAAACUCAGAGCUCCAGGUGGGAAUGUGAGACUCAAGGCCAGUUUUUGAGUUGUACACUGAUGUGCAUUUGCCAUUCAUGAUGACUGUUUUUAAUUGGGACUUUUAAUCUGACUUACUUAUGAAAGCACAUGAUGCAAUGUUUGAUCCAUUAGUUGAUCAGUAGGCCUGGGUGAUAGGGUGAUGAACGGUGCAUCAAAGGCCAUAAUCACCAUUUCAGGAAAGAGAACAGCGGCUGUAUUACAGAAACUUUCUCUCUUUUUGUCCUAAGAAAGGAUAUGACGGGUCAAGAUAAGAUUUUUCACAAAUUCAUAUCACUGAAGCAAAUCUGAUCUUAAUUUAGGGUUUUAUCUGGUCUUACAGAAUCUUAUCUCCAGUUAAUAAAUCUUAACCUACUCGUUCAAAGUCAUCUGUCGUGUCUGUCUCCUAGCAACCGACCAUAAAAACACAAAUGUAAACACAAUCAAAAUAAUGUUAAAAUGUGAGUUAAGCUGCCAUUACAGAACUAAAAAGUGAUAAAUAGUAAGUAGUGAAUACUGUGAGAGCGCCCCCUGCUGUUUAUCAAAGCAUCGCCGCUUCCCAGUUUCAGUCUCCAUUCCCCAAAAGUUUUAGCCAAGAGCGCUCAUGCUACUCCUAAUAAACAAACGCAUGUUCAGCUCCACCUCCUCAUUAUUCACCACCAUCGUUGUAAUAUUCCAUCAUCGACAUUAACACAAUAAGGUGAUCAGAGGGGUGGUAGAGUUCGAGUUGGCAGCGUCUGAGAUUUUAAAAACGCAGUUAGAAAAGAAAAACAUCUCCCAGUGAAAGCCGCGUUUUACAGUAGAAAUAAACGGAGCUCAUUAUGCUGGUAGUGAACAACGCCGCCUGACUCAGCCGCCUAAAAACCAGAGAAACAGACCUUAAACAGAAGUUAGGACCCUGUUGGGGUUCAUCCUAAAGUUAGGACAGGAUUUAGGAGGUUUAGUCUAGUUAGGAUGUUUGUGUGAUGUGUUUUCUGAUCUGGACUUAAUGAUGAAAUAAUGUUAGGAGCUGAUAUUCUGGAAUAGAUACUGUCUUCUGUUCAGUCCGUCAUGUAGACUAAACCGAAAAAGAUAAGAUUUCAGAGUUGAGAUGUUUCAGUAAUACGGCCGCUGAUGUUAAAACUAUUUUUUUGGAAAUAUAUUUGAAGUAGUACAUAAACAGUGCUAAAACUUGUGAUUUUUAGAAGGAAGAACCAGUCGCGAUUACGAUGUUUGCAGUAACAACUUUCAAAGUAAUAGAAAUGAUAUGAUCAGUUUUGUUUUGUUUAACAAGAAAAUAUUGUGCCGAUUUAUUUUAUAUUGCCCAGGCCUAUUUUGAGACCCGGCCAGAUAUAUUGGCUAUUAUUAAAUAGGGCUGGGUAUCAUUCAGAUGUUGACUUCAAUGCUGCUAUAAGCUGUACGAUCAUCUUUAUUGGCUCUGAGUACUUGGGUAUUGAAAUUUGGUAUUCAGUGACCGUGUCAUAAAGGUGCAGUAUAUGAUUCUGGAGAAUGAUUGGUGAUCUUUGAACUUGAGCAAAACAAACAUAAGUUCAUAGAUGCACAUUGGACUGAAAAACAUUCUUUUUUUAGUUAAAUGCCAUGAUAUAACGUUAGAGCGAACAAUGACACAGUAGGUAAUGUAACGUUAGCCAAGUUGUGGGGUACUGAGGCUAAAAUUGCUGCUGUGAAGCUAAGCACAAACAGCACAAACAAUACUGACACAUUUAUUCCCUGAAACAGCAAAAAUAAGUUGAUGUUUCUGCUUGCCAGCUGCAACAGAGCAGCCUCCUCAUCCCUUUUCAGGCCUUUCAACUUUCCAUCAAGCUGAAGUCAGCUUCUUGUUCAGUUUUUUCAUUUCCAUCUUAAAUGGUGCAAGUUAGGCUAUAUUCAGAUGUCUCCGCUCCUUUUUCGAAUUUUUCCCAUUCCACCUUAAAUGGUGUAACAGUUAGGCUGUAUUCAGGCACCUCAGCUUCUUGUUCGAAUUUUCCUGUUCCACCUUAAAUAGUGCAACAGUUAGAUUAUAUUCAGGCACCUCAGCUUCUUGUUCGAAUUUUCCUGUUCUACCUUAAAAAGUGCAACAGUUAGACUAUAUUCAGGCACCUCGGCUUCUUGUUUGAAUUUUCCUUUUCCAUCUUAAAUGGUGCAACAGUUAGGCUAUGUUCUGGCACCUCUGCUUCUUGUUCGAAUUUUCCUGUUCCACCUUAAAUAGUGCAACAGUUAGACUAUAUUCAGGCACCUCAGCUUCUUGUUCGAAUUUUCCUGUUCCACCUUAAAAAGUGCAACAGUUAGACUAUAUUCAGGCACCUCUGCUUCUUGUUCAAAUUUUCCUGUUCCACCUUAAUUCAAGGUAGAAUUUGGAAGAUAUGAAUAAAAAGACAACUACAGCUCUCAUCAAUAUCCUCACCUGAUUUGAGAGCUACUUUCUCAGUCUUUGUUCUUCAGAUUUUCUCCUCUUUGGCUGUUUCCCAGCACAUAGCCCCUCCCCUUCCCCUUGUCCUGUGCACGAGCAGGAGUGCCCCCUGUUGCUGAUAGGCUGGAAUAGUGUUUUGUCGUUCAGUCCGAAACACUUUGUUUCCCAUUUACAGAUCCAGCACUCACUUUGGGCAGUCGUGGGCUGGAGGUUAGGGAACCAGCCCUGUGCUCACUAGUGUGUAUGUGGUGUUUCACUGCAUGGAUGGGUUAAAUGUGGAGGUGAAAUUUCCCCGUUGUGGGACUAAUAAGGGUCACUUAAUUAGAACGGAGAGCCCGGGGACGGUGAGGACAUAUUAGCAACUUAACAAAGUGUAUUGGAUUGAUAUUGUAUACUGCACCUUUAAAUGAAUAAGUAGUUAAUAAAUAUAACAGUGUUUACUGAGUAGUAUGAAGUACUAUAAACGUAUCAGAUAUCCAGCCGUGUUAGCAGCUGGUUCGAGCCCUGCGUAGGUGCCUGAUUCCCAUCUAAGGAUUAAAGAAGUGUUCUCUAAU
This is a long non-coding RNA of Pygocentrus nattereri (red-bellied piranha), 4781 nucleotides long. The record is from Ensembl. NCBI's taxonomy places the organism in Eukaryota, Metazoa, Chordata, Actinopteri, Characiformes, Serrasalmidae.